RNAcentral lists this transfer RNA (87 nucleotides) under Anaerolineae bacterium. Its description in RNAcentral is "tRNA-Ser". It matches the Rfam family "tRNA". From Rfam's summary of the family: Transfer RNA (tRNA) molecules are approximately 80 nucleotides in length. The record is from RNAcentral. Lineage: Bacteria; Bacillati; Chloroflexota; Anaerolineae.
GGAGGGAUGGCCGAGUGGACGAAGGCAGCGGUCUUGAAAACCGCCGUGGGUGAAGACCCACCGAGGGUUCGAAUCCCUCUCCCUCCG